Molecule: long non-coding RNA, 477 nt
Organism: Macaca mulatta (Rhesus monkey)
Lineage: Eukaryota; Metazoa; Chordata; Mammalia; Primates; Cercopithecidae
Source: RefSeq, a predicted model, not a curated record
GCCUGGCAGGGCUUGGCUUUGUAUCCUGUUGGGAUGAUCAUCUCUUCAGUGUGAUGACUAAGGGUUGCAUCCAGUUAGUGCACUAGCAACUGAAGUUAGGAAGGCUGGGGUGGACGCUGCCAACCAGCAAUCCAAUCUGCCUGAUGGCCAACCCUCUGACCACUGGGAGCCUGGGGCUUUCUGAAUCAGACAACUUCCAGACUUCCCAUGUGCUGCCAAGCACAAGAUAUAUUCUGGAAAGAAGAGGAGGAGGAAGAAGAAAGACUGUAAAGGAAGGAGCAGUACUGUUUUCAUGAGGACCUACUAUGUGCCAGACAUUAUUCUAAGUGCUGGGGUCACCAUGGUGAACAAGACAGUCCCUGCUGUCUCUAGGAGUUCAUAUUCAAAUGGAAGAAAAUUAUUUAAAAUUGUACUUAUUAUCUCAGAUUUUUUCAGGUUUUGAUAAAUACUAUGAAGAGUAUAAAAUGGCACAGUAAA